RNAcentral lists this ribosomal RNA (1429 nucleotides) under uncultured bacterium. RNAcentral describes it as "bacterial SSU rRNA". It matches the Rfam family "Bacterial small subunit ribosomal RNA". The record is from RNAcentral.
AGAGUUUGAUCAUGGCUCAGGAUUAACGCUGGCGGCAUGCCUUAUGCAUGCAAGUAGAACGGGUCAGUAGCAAUACUGAUCAGUUGCGAACGGCUGAGUAAUGGAUAGGAAUCUCCCCAAUGGUGUGGAAUACCUCAUCGAAAGAUGAGCUAAUACCGCAUAACCUCGAAAGAGAAAAGCGCUUCACUGCGCGCCGAUGGAUGAGCCUAUCUCCCAUCAGGCAGUUGGCAGGGUAAUGGCCUACCAAACCUAUGACGGGUACCCGCCCUGAGAGGGGAAACGGGCAGAAUGGGACUGAGACACGGCCCAUACACCUACGGGUGGCAGCAACAGGGAAUCGUACGCAAUGGACGAAAGUCUGACGUCGCAAUGCCGCGUGGGGGAUGAAGGCCUUCGGGUCGUAAACCCCUUUUAUAUAGAAUGAGAGUUCUGUAAGAAUAAGUAACUGCUAACUCUGUGCCAGCAGCCGCGGUAAUACAGAGGUUACAAGCGUUAUCCGGAUUUAUUGGGCGUAAAGCGUUUCGUAGGUGGUUUGGAAAGUUACCCUUCAAAGACUACGGCUCAACCGGAGGAAGGGGGGUAAUACUGACAGACUUGAAAUAUGGUGGGGCUUCUGGAACUGAUGGUGUAGUAGUGAAAUACGUUGAUAUCAUCAGGAACUCCGAGGGCGAAGGCAGGAAGCUAAACAUUUUUUGACACUGAGGAACGACAGCUAGGGGAGCGAAAGGGAUUAGAGACCCCUGUAGUCCUAGCCGUAAACUAUGCUCGCUAGGGGUUAGAAGUUUACUUCUGGCCCCGUAAGCUAACGCGUUAAGCGAGCCGCCUGGGGAGUACGGUCGCAAGACUAAAACUCAAAGGAAUUGACGGGGACCCGCACAACCAGUGGAGCAUGUGGUUUAAUUCGAGACGAAACGAAAGACCUCACCUAGCCUUGUCAUGACACCGUUUUAAGCACCCAGAAAUGGGAGCCUAUCUUUAGAAAUAUGGAUGGUGCCACAGGUGUUGCAUGGCCGUCGUCAGCUCGUGCCGUAGGGUGUUCCCUUCAGUGGGGUAACGAGCGCAACCCUUGUCCUAAGUUGAAUAUUCUUAGGAGACUCCUUGAAUUUAUUUCAAGGGGAAGUAAGGACGACGUCAGGUCAGCAUGGCCCUUAUAGCUAGGGCAACACACAUACUACAAUGGAGCCGACAGAGGGUUGCCAAGUGGUAACACGGAGCUAAUCCCAAAAACGGCUUCUCAGUGGGGAUUGGGGGCUGCAACUCGCCCCCAUGAACUUGGAAUUGGUAGUAAUCGCGAAUCAGCAUGUCGCGGUGAAUACGUUCUCGGGUCUUGUACACACCGCCCGUCAAGUGAGUAAAGUUGUAAAUACCUUAAAGGCCAUUGUGUGGUCUCAAGGUAGAGACAGCGAUAAGCACUAAGUCGUAACAAGGU